CCUACGGGAGGCAGCAGUGGGGAAUUUUGCGCAAUGGGGGAAACCCUGACGCAGCAACGCCGCGUGGAGGAUGAAGUCUCUUGGGACGUAAACUCCUUUCGAUCGGGACGAUAAUGACGGUACCGAGAGAAGAAGCCCCGGCUAACUUCGUGCCAGCAGCCGCGGUAAU
RNAcentral lists this ribosomal RNA (169 nucleotides) under uncultured bacterium. RNAcentral's name for it is "partial 16S rRNA". It matches the Rfam family "Bacterial small subunit ribosomal RNA", at positions 338 to 524 of the family's 1533-position model. The record is from RNAcentral.